CCGCUAAUGACCUAAUGACGAAGGUAGUUUCUCUUUACUUCUCUUGGAAAUUACUUGAAGUCGGCUUUGCAGCGGAGCUGGAGUGAGGGGCCGGGCAGAAGCCCGGGGCCUGUGCGCCGUCGGCCGCAGUUAUGCAGGCUCUGCCAAGGCCCAGUCUGCCCUGUCCGU
This 168-nucleotide long non-coding RNA is filed under the name Canis lupus familiaris (dog). RNAcentral describes it as "lncRNA (ENSCAFG00030002465.1)". Lineage: Eukaryota; Metazoa; Chordata; Mammalia; Carnivora; Canidae. The record is from RNAcentral.